AGUCUCAAUCUAUCAUGUGAUGAAAGGUGUGGUACCAACUACAGCAAAUAAACUUACAAUUUCCAACAUCCAACCAAAGAGGCUGACUACAAAAUAAAGCUAUUCCUACGAAACUGCAAUUUUUGCAGGUCAAAUUUUCAGCCAGCCACCAGAGGGUGCCCGUAGAGCUCUCUAAAAAUGACCAAAACCUGAAGAAUUAGAGGAGAAAGAAAAUUUCCAGUGCAUGGAAGACCAGGACAAAAUACAGCUUACCCCCACGUGACUUGAACAGAUACACAGGCCAGACAAGGAGCUGUGAGGCUGUCGACAACAAGAACCAGGGUGGGAGUAACCCCAGAUUUUACCUAGAUAUGAGCUAAACAAGUUGCUUCUUGAUUUCACAUUGGCAAUUGCGAUAGUACUUUGAGGACUGGCCCAGAAAGCAUUUUCAUCCCCUGGCAAAACUCUUCCCCAUCAGCUUCCCAACCAUGUGUACAAAGGAAAUGCAAAUACAUGUGAAUAGUAGCCUGAGUCAAAGUCUUCUUGGAAGGUAAGGCUGCUUGCGACUGCUGCUGCUUUGAAAAAGAAAAAUCCUACAAUGCAAGUGAAAGGACAGAUUUUCUGAGCCACUGCUUCUGCACCAGGGUGAGGGUUCAGAAGGACGAAAUACAGGCACCAAGACCUGUACUCGUUGGAGACUAUGAUGGACAACACAACAUGAAUUUCUUGCCCUCAGGUGGUUUACAAUCUAGAGAGGGAGGCAGACAAAUGACCAGAUGACAUCCGAGAGACCAAGCUUUGCCUGCCCUCCUGUGGCCUUGGCUGGGGGAUCCUCCUGUGGCCCAUGGAAGGGGCAUUUCUCUGAACUGAAGGACUCCACCUCUCCUAUGCUAUAACUGGCCAGGGAUGGGCCUGCAGUGGCUGAUCAGAGGUUCAGCCCUUGGUAAUUCAAGCCAAUCCAGUUUCUUGCCUUAAAAUUUGUAAUUGACAUGCUGACAGAUGAAGUUAGUUACAGGUGGUGAGUGAGCUUCAAGUUUAUGGAGACUUGGGACUGAAGCCACUUGAUGAGCCACGUAUUCCCAGAGAGUGUGUAAAAGCAAAAGAAGCAACCAGAAGAGAGGAUGAGAGAGGGGAAGGGGGCAGACUUGGAGAGUCAGCUCCCCUUGAUGGCAACAACUCCCCUUGCUCCUUAUCUUUGUGUCCUGUGAGAUUACCAUUCUUUAAAAUAAAUCCCUCUCUUCCUGCGA
Homo sapiens (human) is the source of this 1226-nucleotide long non-coding RNA. RefSeq lists it as uncharacterized. NCBI's taxonomy places the organism in Eukaryota, Metazoa, Chordata, Mammalia, Primates, Hominidae. The transcript is spliced from 2 exons. The record is from RefSeq and is a predicted model, not a curated record.